AUUUGGCGGGAUCUGUGUCUCUCGCUGGUGCUGGCACAGGAGCUUGGGAUCUGUCUCCUCUUUCGCCUCCUGCACCUUGAGAGCCCUGGGCUACUCUGUCACAGCCCCUGUUGCCCUGCGAUCUGUAGGUCCUUGGGGACGCAUAGUUAAGGUGCCAGGACAUCCUGGAAGCUGGGAAAUGAUAUGUAUUCAUUUCCUACCACCGUAGUGGAAGAGAGAUUUUCCCUAUCUUUACAACUGAUAGCAUUUCCAACAGUAAGCUGUGAGAUUCUGCUUGAAAUCACCUCUCAAACAAAUAAAAAACAGACCUGGGAGACAUGCUACACUCAUUCUGCUGAGGAAAUAGGCAUCAUAGCUGGGAAACGGAUUCACAAGACCCAGGCUGUUCCCUACAUAUGUUUCCUCCUCCGACAUCAGUUCAUCAGUCAAUCAAGCCAUGUGAGAGUGGAGGCCUUGUAUUCCCUAUUAUUCUUGGGCACUCUACUCCAAGUAGGAAAAGGCCAGGAGGUCCUGUUAAAGGAUGCACUCAGAGCCCGGGCUCCCUAACAUAUGAGAGUGCUAACCAGCAGGUGUAGACUUUUCAGGAGUGAAGAAUGAGGCAGGCAUUCCAAACCUGGACCUUCAUCACCUUUUGUUUCAUCUCAAGACAAUUCUGAGGGACUGUUUUGGAGCGUGUCUGGAAGGUGAACCUUGAAGAAGAGUGUGGGCUUUGAUGUGACUCAGUUGAGAUCUUUCAUGGGGAGGCAGGAAUUCAAUGCCCAGAAUCUGGGCUGGUGUCUUUGAGGUCAGUAGGUUGCGUCUUUGUAUCCAAGUCCAUUGUUACUAGGUUGGAGGCUGGAGAUUCUAAAUGGCUUCCAGACCAUCUCUCUGAUUCUCUUUGGGAGAUGGGGUCUGAAAGACAAUGUCAGUAGUUUUGGGAAAUUCUAGAAAGUGUGCUUGGAAACGUGGGAAGAGCUCUUGCCUAGUGCCUAAAUGCUCCAUUUGCAGCUCUAGCCAAGUAGAUACUUGGUAGGUAUAGAGCCGGGUUUGCGUUUAUAUCAGCAAAACCUAUGUCAGAGUUGAAGAAGUAGUCAGGAAAAAGCGUCUUGGUCGCAGGCCGGGGAACAUCUUAAAAGCAAACUUCUAGCCUGCUGACUCUUGGCAAUGAGUGUUGGAUCCUGGCUAAAGUGCCUUGAAUGCAGCAUGAGGCCAAUCCAUGAAUCCAACUUCUCAUGGAGAAAUGUUAAUAUUUUUUCAGUUUGAAUCAAUCAGGGUGAAACUACCAUGCUAUUGGUUUGCUUACUUUUUAUUAUUUCAUGUAAAAUCUAAGACAAAAUACAUUAAAUGCUUAUUGACAUAUGUAUUUAUUCUUCACCAGGCUGAUAAUAUCUGCCUAAUUUUAAACUUUCUUCCAUUUUGUAGGUUUCAACUUAUUCUAUUGUAAGAUACUGUUAAAUCUAAUAGAGGCAUUGUCACUUUUACGUAUAAUUUUAUUUUAUUUCAUAUAUUUCCUAUUGGCUUUUUACAUUUAAAUUAUGGAGCACUUCAUCAUAUAAAAAACUUCAAUUAUAUUUAAACAGUAAGUCUUUGGAUUUUUUUGCCUUGUAAUUUCCAUAUUACAUAAUAAUGAGAUAAACAUUAAUGUUUUCAGGGUACUUUAAAUUUUAGAUAAUUACUCAUUGUAUUCAUGUGAAAUUUGUUUUUACUGCAUGUGUGGGUUGGAGGACUGUUUUCACUUCUGAUUCAUCUUUACUCUUAUCUCAUCAGAGCUCAUACCUCUUGUAGUUGGGGGAUUGCAGUUUAUAAUUCCAAUAAAUGGGGCAAAUUCAAUAAUAACAUAAUACAAAUGAGUUUGAAUGCAGGACAGGUCUUCAAAGCAUACACAACAUGGGCCUACAUAUGUACAACAAUAAUAAUUUAUAAGUUACUGUUUGGAUGGAAAGUAAAAGUACAGAAAAUUUGUUAAAGGAAAUUAAAAUGGAGAUCAUGUCUCAAUAAUCUCUGAGCAGACAAAAUUAGUUAGGUCUCAUAAGUGAUCUCAACCUCGCUUGAUUUGCAAAUACAAACAAAACUUAAAUUAUUUCUUGUAGCUGCAUAUUGAAAAAAGAGAAAUGAAGCUCAACCAGUCAGAAGUAGCCAACAACCUUAUAUAAAUAGAAACUGUCCAACAAGGUAAACAGACAAACAAAAAACAAUAAAAAAAGUUGUGCUACCACCAAAUGAUUUCUUUGUUUCUACAUUUUUCAAAUAAAUACUUGCUUCUUACACUGUCAAUGAAGCACUCAAUAUCUUUCCGUCUGAUAUUUUAUAAUUUAUCAAUUGCUCUUACUCAAAUAAACACUUUGCAAUUUCA
Molecule: long non-coding RNA, 2332 nt
Filed under: Homo sapiens (human)
Lineage: Eukaryota; Metazoa; Chordata; Mammalia; Primates; Hominidae
Description: HSALNT0402589
Source: RNAcentral